This 701-nucleotide long non-coding RNA is filed under the name Coffea arabica (coffee). Its description in RNAcentral is "long non-coding RNA (CARA_LNC004329)". The record is from RNAcentral. Lineage: Eukaryota; Viridiplantae; Streptophyta; Magnoliopsida; Gentianales; Rubiaceae.
GGGGGCAAGAUGCAAACAUUCCUUAUCAAACCAUGUAAUGUCCACGAACUCUAAAGAAAUUUGAAGAUUCGGCAAACUCAGGAAACUUACAAAAAUGACUACAACAGAUUCACAUCAUGUUCCAAAUACACAAGAUCAUACAACCCAAACAUCAAUGCAAGAUUUAAAACAAGAUUAUGUGAUAAGAAUCUAAACUAAUGGACUGCAACAAGAAGAAGAAAACAGCAGAAUAAAGAAAACAAACAAGUGCAGCAGAGUUUAAUAGAUCUGGUGUGGAUCUAAACUUAUAUGCAAAGGAAAGAAAUGAAAUAAGCUACCUUGGAUGUUUUAUGGAGUUGAAUAAAUGCGGUAAAUCUCAAGAAAAGCGGAUCCGAAUGCUGAAAGAUGAAGCUGACAGCUUCUUGGGUCAGAUUUCAAGAGUUGGCAAAAGCAAGGAAUUUAAGCCCAAAUUCAAAGAAUCUAGAUACAUUUUUUCUAAAAUUUCUCCAAUGAAAGUUGUUCCUUGAUGAAUGUAGAUGAUGCAGAAACAAAAAUGUCACCUAAAGGACUACAAUUGAAAUUGGAUUUUGAUUAGAAAUUAGGCUGAAUCAUCAGCCCUACUCACGAAUUUUCCAGAAAAAUUCUACCUUUUCUCUCUCCCCAUUUUCUUUCUUUUUUUUCUCUCUUUUUGUUGUUUUUGCAGACUUUUCUCCCCUCUCCCC